This 454-nucleotide ribosomal RNA is filed under the name uncultured Synergistaceae bacterium. RNAcentral describes it as "bacterial SSU rRNA". It matches the Rfam family "Bacterial small subunit ribosomal RNA", at positions 927 to 1382 of the family's 1533-position model. Lineage: Bacteria; Thermotogati; Synergistota; Synergistia; Synergistales; Synergistaceae. The record is from RNAcentral.
AAGCGGUGGAGCAUGUGGUUAAUUCGAUGAUACGCGAGGAACCUUACCUGGGCUCGAACGUAAGAUGACUGUAGGUGAAAGCUUACAUCUCUUCGGAGCAUUUACGAGGUGCUGCAUGGUUGUCGUCAGCUCGUGCCGUGAGGUGUCGGGUUAAGUCCCAUAACGAGCGCAACCCCUGCAUUCAGUUGCCAUCGGGUAAUGCCGGGCACUCUGGAAGGACUGCCAUCGACAAGAUGGAGGAAGGUGGGGAUGACGUCAAGUCAUCAUGGCCCUUAUGUCCAGGGCGACACACGUGCUACAAUGGCCGGCACAACGGGAAGCGAGUUCGCGAGGACGAGCGGAUCCCUCAAAGCCGGUCGCAGUUCGGAUUGAAGUCUGCAACUCGACUUCAUGAAGCUGGAAUCGCUAGUAAUCGUGGAUCAGCCAAGCCGCGGUGAAUACGUUCCCGGGCCUU